RNAcentral lists this ribosomal RNA (426 nucleotides) under uncultured bacterium. RNAcentral's name for it is "partial 16S ribosomal RNA". It matches the Rfam family "Bacterial small subunit ribosomal RNA", at positions 354 to 796 of the family's 1533-position model. The record is from RNAcentral.
GUGAGGAAUUUUCCGCAAUGGGCGAAAGCCUGACGGAGCAAUGCCGCGUGAAGGAUGAAGGCCUAUGGGUUGUAAACUUCUUUUCUCAGAAAAGAAUUAUGACGGUAUCUGAGGAAUAAGCAUCGGCUAACUCUGUGCCAGCAGCCGCGGUAAGACAGAGGAUGCAAGCGUUAUCCGGAAUGAUUGGGCGUAAAGCGUCUGUAGGUUGUUUAAAAAGUAUUCUGUCAAAGAUUAGGGCUUAACCCUAGAUAGGCAGAAUAAACUUUUAAGCUAGAGUUUGGUAGAGGCAGAGGGAAUUCCCGGUGGGGCGGUGAAAUGCGUAGAUAUCGGGAGGAACACCAAAGGCGAAGGCACUCUGCUGGGACAAUACUAACACUGAGAGACGAAAGCGAGGGGAGCAAAUGGGAUUAGAUACCCUUGUAGUCC